Molecule: long non-coding RNA, 415 nt
Organism: Priapulus caudatus
Lineage: Eukaryota; Metazoa; Priapulida; Priapulimorpha; Priapulimorphida; Priapulidae
Exons: 2
Source: RefSeq, a predicted model, not a curated record
CAUCUUUAUGCGACCGCAAUCGCGUACGUGCCGUCCCUAUCUAUACUAUUAUUGUUCCUACUUACGCCACCGCACGAUAUAUUUUAGAUCGUGAUGCGGAAGAAAGGCAGUUAUGUAGGUAACGGCGCUAAGCACGCACGGCCCGCAAUCCUCCGUUACCUUCGCCGUCUUUUUACAGCUACGACUUGGAAAAAGACACUCAACGAGCAGGUUGAAAAUUGAUACGAUAUAGAUUUUCGAGAAAGCCUCGCGAAUUUAACGAUGGCGUGUGAAUGCGAUAUUAUGUGCAUUACGAGAAACGCAUCUUUCAUAGUUUAGACCUGCAGAUAAACACCGUACGUUACUGUACGCCACAUGUUCCAUGAUUACCGCACGCGCGCGCGCACACACACACACACACACACACACACACACA